AUAAGCGGAGGAAAAGAAACUAACAAGGAUUCCCCUAGUAACGGCGAGUGAAGCGGGAAGAGCUCAAAUUUGUAAUCUGGCACUUUCAGUGUCCGAGUUGUAAUCUCGAGAAGUAUUUUCCGCGCCGGACCGCAUACAAGUCUGUUGGAAUACAGCGUCAUAGUGGUGAGAACCCCGUAACUGAUGCGGAUGCCCGGUGCUUUGUGAUAUACUUUCGAAGAGUCGAGUUGUUUGGGAAUGCAGCUCAAAUUGGGUGGUAAAUUCCAUCUAAAGCUAAAUAUUGGAGCAAGACCGAUAGCGAACAAGUACCGUGAGGGAAAGAUGAAAAGCACUUUGGAAAGAGAGUUAACAGUACGUGAAAUUGUUGGAAGGGAAACGCUUGAAGUCAGACUUGCUAUUCGGAGUUCAGCCGCAAGGUGUAUUCUUCGAUUUGCAGGCCAGCAUCAGUUUUUGGGGGUGGAAAAUCGUGGUUUGAAGGUAGCAGUUUCGGCUGUGUUAUAGCUUUCCACUGGAUUCAUCUUCGGGGACUGAGGAACGCAGUACGCUUUUUGCAAGGCUCUCGAGCUUUUCGUACUAGGAUGCG
Molecule: ribosomal RNA, 583 nt
Filed under: Leucosporidium scottii
Lineage: Eukaryota; Fungi; Basidiomycota; Microbotryomycetes; Leucosporidiales; Leucosporidiaceae
Description: eukaryotic LSU rRNA
Rfam family: Eukaryotic large subunit ribosomal RNA
Source: RNAcentral